AUGGCGGCCGAGCAGGCAGGCAGGAGGUGCAGCAUCGCCAGCAACCUCCACUCCUCCCCUAUGCUCACCAACCGCACACAGGUCAGUACGACUGUACAAGGUGUCGUGCUGGCGACCGGGUUCGGAGCGCUCAGAUCGAAGGUGGCCGUGCACUGGUGCGAGAACGAGGACGCAUCCAAGGUUGAGUAUAGGGUGUGGAACCCCUUCAGGUCCAAGCUGGCUACUGCUAUGCUCGGUGGUGCUCCUGGACCACGUGUGCUGUACCUCGGAGCUGCCUUUGGAACAACCGUGCCUCAUGUGUCUGACACUGUUGGAACGACUGGGUUGGUGUAUGCCUUUGAGUUCUCUCACCAGAGUGGUAGGGAUCUUGUCAACAUGGCCAAGAAGAGGACCAAUGUCAUCCCCAUCACUGAGGAUGCUAGGCACCCGACAAAGUAA
This 438-nucleotide ribosomal RNA is filed under the name Triticum aestivum (bread wheat). RNAcentral describes it as "partial small subunit ribosomal RNA". Lineage: Eukaryota; Viridiplantae; Streptophyta; Magnoliopsida; Poales; Poaceae. The record is from RNAcentral.